Molecule: ribosomal RNA, 253 nt
Filed under: uncultured bacterium
Lineage: Bacteria
Description: partial 16S ribosomal RNA
Rfam family: Bacterial small subunit ribosomal RNA
Source: RNAcentral
UACGAAGGGUGCAAGCGUUACUCGGAAUUACUGGGCGUAAAGCGUGCGUAGGUGGUUUGUUAAGUCGGAUGUGAAAUCCCCGGGCUCAACCUGGGAACUGCAUUCGAAACUGGCAGGCUAGAGUCUUGUAGAGGGGGGUAGAAUUCCAGGUGUAGCGGUGAAAUGCGUAGAGAUCUGGAGGAACACCGGUGGCGAAGGCGGCCUUCUGGACAGUGACUGACGCUGAGACGCGAAAGCGUGGGGAGCAAACAGG